Oncorhynchus nerka (sockeye salmon) is the source of this 378-nucleotide long non-coding RNA. RefSeq lists it as uncharacterized. NCBI's taxonomy places the organism in Eukaryota, Metazoa, Chordata, Actinopteri, Salmoniformes, Salmonidae. The record is from RefSeq and is a predicted model, not a curated record. The transcript has 2 exons.
ACAGCACGAAGAGUGAUAUACAAACUUAAGACUAGAGAAAAACACAUUGGCUGUGGCGGUUCUGUAAUUGGAUUCUGUGAUGAAAACGCCUCCAGCUCCAGGAUUCUGGUCUGAAGGGAACUUUCUCUGGAGACGGCUUUGUCUUUGACUUUGGAAACCUCGGGAUGAGAUAAAUAAAGAUUAUGAGUGUGUCAAAAAGAAAACCACAUAUCGACAGGAACUCAUCCCCUAAAAAACACCAUCUUCAAUUCGCUUCUGUGCCUUUCCAUUCCCCUUCGGGGAACAUUGGUUCCACUUAAUAUGAACCUUUAUUCUGAGCAUUUGAAUUUGCUUCUAUGUACACAUACACUGGAUUUGAAUAAAACCAUAUGCUGAGUG